GAGUUUGAUCAUGGCUCAGGAUGAACGCUAGCGGCAGGCUUAACACAUGCAAGUCGAGGGGUAUAGUUCUUCGGAAUUAGAGACCGGCGCACGGGUGCGUAACGCGUAUGCAAUCUACCUUUCACAGAGGGAUAGCCCAGAGAAAUUUGGAUUAAUACCUCAUAGUAUUAUGGAAUGGCAUCAUUUUAUAAUUAAAGUCACAACGGUGAAAGAUGAGCAUGCGUCCCAUUAGCUAGUUGGUAAGGUAACGGCUUACCAAGGCUACGAUGGGUAGGGGUCCUGAGAGGGAGAUCCCCCACACUGGUACUGAGACACGGACCAGACUCCUACGGGAGGCAGCAGUGAGGAAUAUUGGACAAUGGGCGCAAGCCUGAUCCAGCCAUGCCGCGUGCAGGAUGACGGUCCUAUGGAUUGUAAACUGCUUUUGCACAGGAAGAAACAACUCUACGUGUAGAGUCUUGACGGUACUGUGAGAAUAAGGAUCGGCUAACUCCGUGCCAGCAGCCGCGGUAAUACGGAGGAUCCAAGCGUUAUCCGGAAUCAUUGGGUUUAAAGGGUCCGUAGGCGGUUUAGUAAGUCAGUGGUGAAAGCCCAUCGCUCAACGGUGGAACGGCCAUUGAUACUGCUAGACUUGAAUUAUUAGGAAGUAACUAGAAUAUGUAGUGUAGCGGUGAAAUGCUUAGAGAUUACAUGGAUACCAUUGCGAAGGCAGGUGCUACUAUGGAUGA
Molecule: ribosomal RNA, 728 nt
Filed under: uncultured bacterium
Lineage: Bacteria
Description: bacterial SSU rRNA
Rfam family: Bacterial small subunit ribosomal RNA
Source: RNAcentral